Non-coding RNA from Arachis ipaensis, 2750 nucleotides. The record is from RefSeq and is a predicted model, not a curated record. NCBI's taxonomy places the organism in Eukaryota, Viridiplantae, Streptophyta, Magnoliopsida, Fabales, Fabaceae.
UUCCCCAAUUUAAUGAGGUUUUUUUCUGACGGCAAUAAAUGUACAUCAUUAUCAUAUUCUGGAUUAGUUUAUGGUUCAGAAUGUUCACCAGCUUAUUUGCUUUGUUUAUUAUCCACAUGUCCUUCAUUUCCUCAACCAUCAUCUUCAAUCUUCACCCUCACAGUCUCCAAAUAAUGCCUUAAGCUGAAAAAAUUAUGUUACAAUAUUCUUUUUAAACGAAACAAAAAAAAGCAGAAAAAAAAUAUUUGAUGAAAUGGCUGAUCUCUUCUCCAGAAGCUUCCAGUGCCUCGUGGUUCCAAGCUGCAAUCUUCCCCAAAAAUCUUCGGAAAGGCUUCGAAUUUCAGCUCCAAUUCCACUUCCCAAACGAUCUCUCAGAGUUAUCCACCAUACCCAUGUGCUUGCCAAUUCCACUUCAACCUCAAGCUCUUCUUCAAACUCUGUUCCUGAAGAAGUUGACAUUCUCUCUUCAACUGAGUGUUCCGAUGGUAGUGUUGUGUUCCAAUUUGCCAAUGCUAGUGAGGUUAGAAAAAGGAUGGCUGAGUUGGAGCAAGAAAAACUAGCCAGGGAAGCUGUUGAGAAAGUUGGUGAAGCUGGUCCAGCUUUGUUGAGUGAAGGUGUUGAAAAAUUAAACACUGAGGUUGAUCAUAAUCUAGUGGAGGAAAUUGAAUCUUCUUCAACUGUAGUAGUUAGUCUUGCUAAUCGAAAUCUUCAGCUUCCCGUAAAUGAAGAGGAGAGUAACGUGCUUUAUAAUGUCUCUAAGGCAGCUGUGAUCAGUGACGAAAAUGAAAUUGAUGGGAAUUUGAUGUUGGAUUCAGGAGAGGAUGUUCAGCAUGGAAUUUCAAGUAAAGAUGUUGCUGCUGAGGGUAAUGAUGUGCCAAGCUUGUCUGAGGAAGAUUCUGAAACUGACAAUCAGAAAGAAGUAGUUUCUACAGUUACCCCUGAGUCAGAUAUCAUCCCUGGUCUGAAUAGUCAUGCUUCUGGUGAAGUUGAAGAAGUGAAAGAAGUUGACAAGGGUCAUGGUGUAGAUAGAGCAAUAAACAGCGCGACUGAUGGCAUUGCUGCUGAUAUAAAUGAACCUAUAUCAGUAUCCAGUUCUUUAGAGCUAGAGCAAGAACAAGUUGCUGACAACAAAGAAAUAACUCACGAAAUUGUGGAAGUAGAUGAAGCAGCAAACAACCUGACUGGUGACAUCGAUGUGGAUGCCAAUUCUAGUGAGUUGAUGCCAGUAUCCACUUCUUUAGAGCCUGAACAAGUUGCCAAUGACAAAGAAACAACUCACCACAUUACGGAUGUAGAUAGAGAAGAAGAGAGCCUUGCUGCUGGUGUUGAUACUGUUAUCAGUGAAUUGAUGUCAGUAUCCACUUCUUUAGAGCCUGAACAAGUUGUUGAUGAUGAAGAAACGGCUUACCAUGUUGUGGACGUAGAUAAAGCAGCAAACAGCCUUGCUGCAGGUGUUCAUUCUGAUAAUGUUGAUGUAGAUAAAGCAGCAAUCAGCCUCACUGCUGAUGUUGAUUCUGAUAUUGGUGAAUUGAUCCCAGUAUCUUCGGAAUCUGAAAAAGUUCCUGUUGAUGAAGAAACAACUAACCAUAUUGUGGAAGAGCCAUUUGAUGAAAGUAAAAUGGAAAAAUCAGUCACGUUACAUGACUCGGUUGCAACACUGGAUUUGGAAAACAAAGCAGAUGUGGAAAGUAUGGGAAGAAAUGAUUAUGAAAACCCAUCACUUCCUACUGUACCAGAGACACAUUAUGUUGAGACAUCUAGUCAUGGGAGAAAAAGUUCCACAACAGAGUUUUGCUUAAUUUCCGGUGCUGCUUGCUUGCCUCAUCCCUCUAAGGCAUCAACAGGUCGAGAAGAUGCGUAUUUUAUUUCUCACUCAAAUUGGCUAGGUGUGGCUGAUGGAGUUAGUGAUUGGUCACUUCAAGGUAGUAAUGCUGGACAUUAUAUCAGGGAACUCAUGGAAAAGUGCAAAAAUAUCGUGUCGGAUCAUGAAAACCUUUCAACAAUGAAACCUGCAGAAGUUAUCACCAGUGGUGCUGCUGAAACCCAAAAGUCAGGAUCAUCUGCUAUUCUGGUUGCUCAUUUUGAUGGUCAGAAAUUUAUCUGUAGGCCUUUCAUGCAGCCAAUGUUGGGAACACUGGAUUUAUGGUAAUAAGAGAUGGUUGCGUCUUUAAGAAAUCAACUCCCAUGUUCCAUGAGUUCAGUUUUCCGUUACAAAUAGUUACAGGGGAAGAUCCAUCAGAAAUCAUUGAGGGGUACAAGAUCGAUGUAAAUGAUGGUGAUGUGAUUAUAACUGCAAGUAAUGGUCUUUUUGACAAUCUUUAUGAUCAAGAAAUAGCGUCAGUUGUAUCAAAGUCACUACAAGCUAACUUGAAACCUCAGGAAAUAGCAGAAUUGUUGGCCAUGAGAGCACAGGAAGUUGGAAGAUCAUCUUUUGCGAGAAGUCCUUUUGGCGAUGCGGCGCAGGCAGCAGGGUACGUGGGAUACACCGGCGGCAAGCUUGAUGAUGUAACUGUUAUAGUCUCGUCAGUUAAAACUACUCAGAUUGAUAGAUAGAGAUAGGUUCCUCUCUCAUUACUCAUUACUGCUGCUUUAUUUAUAUUUCCUCUGUAAAUAAAUGCAAUCAUUUUUGUAAAUUUAUCUCUAUCACCAUGCUGGUGACUGGUGAGUCGUGACACCGCAUAUAAAUUUCCUUCUAUAACCAUGGUCAUGACAUGAUCCUUUUUUAUUCAUAUUAAUUUUUUUGUCUGUAA